ACCAGGAUGGCCGAGUGGUUAAGGCGUUGGACUUAAGUUCAAAUGUACGGAUGUACGCGUGGGUUCGAACCCCACUCCUGGUA
Molecule: non-coding RNA, 83 nt
Organism: Nematostella vectensis (starlet sea anemone)
Lineage: Eukaryota; Metazoa; Cnidaria; Anthozoa; Actiniaria; Edwardsiidae
Source: Rfam